Molecule: non-coding RNA, 29 nt
Filed under: Homo sapiens (human)
Lineage: Eukaryota; Metazoa; Chordata; Mammalia; Primates; Hominidae
Source: RNAcentral
UCCCCAACAUGAGCCUGACCCUGGUGCAC